This 465-nucleotide ribosomal RNA is filed under the name Vreelandella stevensii. RNAcentral's name for it is "partial 16S ribosomal RNA". It matches the Rfam family "Bacterial small subunit ribosomal RNA", at positions 338 to 795 of the family's 1533-position model. Lineage: Bacteria; Pseudomonadati; Pseudomonadota; Gammaproteobacteria; Oceanospirillales; Halomonadaceae. The record is from RNAcentral.
CCUACGGGGGGCUGCAGUGGGGAAUAUUGGACAAUGGGGGGAACCCUGAUCCAGCCAUGCCGCGUGUGUGAAGAAGGCCCUCGGGUUGUAAAGCACUUUCAGUGAGGAAGAACGCCUGGUGGUUAAUACCCAUCAGGAAAGACAUCACUCACAGAAGAAGCACCGGCUAACUCCGUGCCAGCAGCCGCGGUAAUACGGAGGGUGCGAGCGUUAAUCGGAAUUACUGGGCGUAAAGCGCGCGUAGGUGGCUUGAUAAGUCGGUUGUGAAAGCCCCGGGCUCAACCUGGGAAGGGCAUCCGGAACUGUCAAGCUAGAGUGCAGGAGAGGAAGGUAGAAUUCCCGGUGUAGCGGUGAAAUGCGUAGAGAUCGGGAGGAAUACCAGUGGCGAAGGCGGCCUUCUGGACUGACACUGACACUGAGGUGCGAAAGCGUGGGUAGCAAACAGGAUUAGAUACCCCAGUAGUC